CGCCCCCCGCCCCGCCCCCUGUCCCCAGGCGGGCGCAGAAGGGGCUGGGCAGUUCUGCGGCGAAACGCGUCAGGUGCAGGGGGCCUGUGGCUCCGGGGAUUUCUGGGGGGGCGGGGUUUCCACCCUCUGCGGGCUGCACACCUAACCCCAGAAGGUCAGGGACUGAAAGCCAAUCACAGAAGGCCCAGGGGCCUUGGUGGGAGAAAGAAACGAACAGCGAUCAGUUCGUUGGGGAUGGAAUCCGACGAUCAGUUCGUUAACAUGAAGCGGCGGCCUGUCACGCCCCUCAUGCCAUGAUGCUUCUGCCUUGGUCCCGUUCCAGCUUCCACAAUACGGGCUUCGGGACCUGCCCUCGACCGUGACGCCCUGAGGGCCAAACGCUUUACGUGGUAGCUAUUGAAGGCUUUCACAGUUGGCUCUUUGCAGGCGCGUAAGGCUGUGGUCCACAGACCCGUGUUUUACCGGCAGGAGGAGGACGAUCCCUGCUCUAUGCUGUCAGGUUGUGUUCUUGCUUGUUUUGUUUCAGGCAGGUGAGGAGAGGGGACAGGAGUGAGACUGUCCUCUCUCUGUCUCCUAUGAAAAAUGGCAUGUUCGCCUCCUGGAAAGCUUUAUGAAGUUUGAAAUAUUAGUCAGCCGCCAGGUGACAUUCAUCAGGCACGGCGGGACCGAAGUGAGACAGUGGGGGUGCCCGGGCCACCAACAUGCUGAAAGGCCACGUUGCUGGCCUGCUUCCCACACAAAAGCUGUGCCGUGGAUGAUCAAUAACAUCCUGAUUGGGGAGGAAGUUCUGGCAUCGAGCCUCCCGAGGAAGGAGGAGGCGGACACAGAGCAAAUGAUGAUUCUUUCCUGAUAGAAUUCUCCCCGAGUAAAUCUUCCUUCCCAUUUAUUAGCCAACCGUCUGUGACAGGUGGGUCAGGAGGGAGAGGAGAGAUGUGUGAUUAAAUUCUGCUUUUCUGGCAACAUCGAA
Molecule: long non-coding RNA, 967 nt
Organism: Felis catus (domestic cat)
Lineage: Eukaryota; Metazoa; Chordata; Mammalia; Carnivora; Felidae
Exons: 4
Source: RefSeq, a predicted model, not a curated record